GUGUUGCUGAAUGGCAUAUCAAAGUAGUUCCACCAUGUUGCAGAGUCAGGCUAACUGACUUGCUGAGCACUAACAUGCAUCCUCAAGUAGUAGUCACCGACAGGAAGCUCUUGAACGUAGCGAGCUUUGUAUUUGCCUUUCCCUGCUUAAUCUUUCGGCAUCCUUGCUGAGUGGUGCUCUCAAAAUGGACAAAUUGUGGGGUGCAUCAACUUCUGCAACUAAAGGGGCGUCACAUUUUGUUAGCAGUCUAACUUGAGGACUGGUGAUGAUAAAAAGAUAUGAGGGAAAGCAAGUUGUGGCAAGGACCCCAAAAGUCCAUCUGUCAAAAUGUAUCUAUAUAUUGAUGCAUAGGCAUACAGAUGUCUGGAUAUAGUUUGGCAGAUGAAAAAUGAAAAGUUAUCUAUUUUGUUAAGAACAGAAAAUCAGAAAAUUGUUUAAAUGGAGAGACUACAGAGGAACCUGGGUGUCAUCCUAUACAGAGCACAGAAAGUUAACAUGCAGGAGUUAGUAAGGAAGGCAGUUGUAGUGUAGCCUUUUAUUAUAUAAGGGAAGGAUUAUACACUUGAACAUCUUAGUAUAUUGUUGACGAGGUUGGACCCAGAGAAGCAACUACAAUUUUGGUAGAUUCCUGUGAUGGAGAUUGUCUCAUGAAGAACUGUUGAGCAAGUCGAUCCAUGCUCAUGGAAUUUUAAAAGAAUGAGAGGCGAUCAUAUUGAAACGUGCAGAAUUAUGAGAGGAUUGUCAACCUGAAUGCAGAGAGCAUGUUUUCUCUCAAAUGUGACUUGAAUUGGGGGCAUAUUUUCAGAGUAAGUGAUCACCGAGGAGGCUUUGUUCUCUCUUGAAUCUUUGGAAUUCUUUCCCCAGAUCUCUGAUUCCUAGUCAUUGAAUAUAUACAAGAUAGAGAAAGGUCGUUUUGGGGAUGAGUCGGUUAUUGAAAAGGGGAAGGAAAGGGGAGAUUAGACUAAGAACAGAUAUGCCAGUGUUUUAUUGUAUGGUGCAGUAGUUGCAGCAGUCCUAUAAUACUGUUGCUCCUGUUUCGUUUACUGUUACAGGGGCAUCCUAAUAAACAUUUGUCUACAUUUA
Long non-coding RNA from Amblyraja radiata (thorny skate), 1083 nucleotides. RefSeq lists it as uncharacterized. Lineage: Eukaryota; Metazoa; Chordata; Chondrichthyes; Rajiformes; Rajidae. The transcript has 2 exons. The record is from RefSeq and is a predicted model, not a curated record.